This 334-nucleotide unclassified non-coding RNA is filed under the name soil metagenome. RNAcentral's name for it is "partial contains 5.8S ribosomal RNA, internal transcribed spacer 2, and large subunit ribosomal RNA". The stretch from base 1 to 120 matches the Rfam family "5.8S ribosomal RNA", at positions 35 to 154 of the family's 154-position model. The record is from RNAcentral.
GAUGAAGAACGCAGUGAAAUGCGAUACGUAAUGUGAAUUGCAGAAUUCAGUGAAUCAUCGAAUCUUUGAACGCACAUUGCGCCCGCCAGCACUCUGGCGGGCAUGCCUGUUCGAGCGUCAUUUCAACCAUCAAGCCCCAGGCUUGCGUUGGAGCCGUGCGGCUGCCGCAGCCUCCUAAAAGCAGUGGCGGGCUCGCUAUCACACCGAGUGCAGUAGAUUACUCUUCGCUCAGGGCGUGCAGCGGGUUCCGGCCGUGAAACCCCCUACUUUUAAAGGUUGACCUCGGAUCAGGUAGGAAUACCCGCUGAACUUAAGCAUAUCAAUAAGCGGAGGA